UACGUAGGCACCAAGCGUUGUCCGGAUUUAUUGGGCGUAAAGAGCUCGUAGGCGGUUCAGUAAGUCGGGAGUGAAAUCUCUGGGCUCAACCCAGAGUCUGCUUCCGAAACUGCUGUGCUUGAGUGUGGGAGAGGCGCGUGGAAUUGCAGGUGUAGCGGUGAAAUGCGUAGAUAUCUGCAGGAACACCCGUGGCGAAAGCGGCGCGCUGGACCACUACUGACGCUGAGGAACGAAAGCUAGGGGAGCAAACAGG
RNAcentral lists this ribosomal RNA (253 nucleotides) under uncultured bacterium. Its description in RNAcentral is "partial 16S ribosomal RNA". It matches the Rfam family "Bacterial small subunit ribosomal RNA", at positions 524 to 776 of the family's 1533-position model. The record is from RNAcentral.